RNAcentral lists this ribosomal RNA (478 nucleotides) under uncultured bacterium. RNAcentral's name for it is "partial 16S ribosomal RNA". It matches the Rfam family "Bacterial small subunit ribosomal RNA", at positions 28 to 523 of the family's 1533-position model. The record is from RNAcentral.
GACGAACGCUGGCGGCGUGCUUAACACAUGCAAGUCGAACGGUAAGGCCCUUCGGGGUACACGAGCGGCGAACGGGUGAGUAACACGUGGGUGAUCCGCCCUGCACUUCGGGAUAAGCCUGGGAAACUGGGUCUAAUACCGGAUAGGACUCCUGGCUUCAUGGUUGGGGGUGGAAAGCUUUUGCGGUGUGGGAUGGGCCCGCGGCCUAUCAGCUUGUUGGUGGGGUAAUGGCCUACCAAGGCGACGACGGGUAGGCGGCCUGAGAGGGUGACCGGUCACACUGGGACUGAGAUACGGCCCAGACUCCUACGGGAGGCAGCAGUGGGGAAUAUUGCACAAUGGGCGCAAGCCUGAUGCAGCGACGCCGCGUGAGGGAUGACGGCCUUCGGGUUGUAAACCUCUUUCAGCUAUGACGAAGCGCAAGUGACGGUAGUAGCAGAAGAAGGACCGGCCAACUACGUGCCAGCCGCCGCCGUAA